Molecule: ribosomal RNA, 258 nt
Filed under: Triticum aestivum (bread wheat)
Lineage: Eukaryota; Viridiplantae; Streptophyta; Magnoliopsida; Poales; Poaceae
Description: partial small subunit ribosomal RNA
Source: RNAcentral
AUGGUUACUUAUUCCCAGAGGAUUAGCAUGAGAUGUGAAGCACACCAGAAGAAGUACCCAGACGCCAAGGUCAUCAGUUUGGGCAUCGGUGACACGACCCAACCCAUACCAAGCAUCUUCACAUCUACCAUGACCGAGGCUUUGCCCUUUAGUAAUUUCCUUGUCGGUCUGCCCGUACAGGUAUCUAGGAUUAUUGAUGGUGACAUGGAUGAUUCCUGUGGUCUGGAGAAGGUUGCUUCCAGUCACUUGCCUGGCUAA